This 740-nucleotide ribosomal RNA is filed under the name Solibacillus silvestris. Its description in RNAcentral is "bacterial SSU rRNA". The stretch from base 78 to 740 matches the Rfam family "Bacterial small subunit ribosomal RNA", at positions 1 to 643 of the family's 1533-position model. Lineage: Bacteria; Bacillati; Bacillota; Bacilli; Caryophanales; Caryophanaceae. The record is from RNAcentral.
UUUGAGUCGUUAAACGACUGCCAGUGAAUUGUAAUACGACUCACUAUAGGGCGAAUUGAAUUUAGCGGCCGCGAAUUCGCCCUUAGAGUUUGAUCAUGGCUCAGGACGAACGCUGGCGGCGUGCCUAAUACAUGCAAGUCGAGCGGAAAUUUUAUUGGUGCUUGCGCCUUUAAAAUUUUAGCGGCGGACGGGUGAGUAACACGUGGGUAACCUACCUUAUAGAUUGGGAUAACUCCGGGAAACCGGGGCUAAUACCGAAUAAUACUUUUAAACACAUGUUUGAAAGUUGAAAGACGGUUUCGGCUGUCACUAUAAGAUGGACCCGCGGCGCAUUAGCUAGUUGGUGAGGUAACGGCUCACCAAGGCAACGAUGCGUAGCCGACCUGAGAGGGUGAUCGGCCACACUGGGACUGAGACACGGCCCAGACUCCUACGGGAGGCAGCAGUAGGGAAUCUUCCACAAUGGACGAAAGUCUGAUGGAGCAACGCCGCGUGAGUGAAGAAGGAUUUCGGUUCGUAAAACUCUGUUGCAAGGGAAGAACAAGUAGCGUAGUAACUGGCGCUACCUUGACGGUACCUUGUUAGAAAACCACGGCUAACUACGUGCCAGCAGCCGCGGUAAUACGUAAGUGGCAAGCGUUGUCCGGAAUAUUGGGCGUAAAGCGCGCGCAGGUGGUUCCUUAAGUCUGAUGUGAAAGCCCCCGGCUCAACCGGGAGGGUCAUUGGAAACUGGGGAACUU